GACGAACGCUGGCGGCGUGCUUAACACAUGCAAGUCGAGCGGAAAGGCCCUGCUUUUGUGGGGUGCUCGAGUGGCGAACGGGUGAGUAACACGUGAGUAACCUGCCCUUGACUUUGGGAUAACUUCAGGAAACUGGGGCUAAUACCGGAUAGGAGCUCCUGCUGCAUGGUGGGGGUUGGAAAGUUUCGGCGGUUGGGGAUGGACUCGCGGCUUAUCAGCUUGUUGGUGGGGUAGUGGCUUACCAAGGCUUUGACGGGUAGCCGGCCUGAGAGGGUGACCGGCCACAUUGGGACUGAGAUACGGCCCAGACUGCUACGGGAGGCAGCAGUGGGGAAUAUUGCACAAUGGGCGGAAGCCUGAUGCAGCAACGCCGCGUGCGGGAUGACGGCCUUCGGGUUGUAAACCGCUUUCGCCUGUGACGAAGCGUGAGUGACGGUAAUGGGUAAAGAAGCACCGGCUAACUACGUG
Molecule: ribosomal RNA, 468 nt
Filed under: uncultured bacterium
Lineage: Bacteria
Description: partial 16S ribosomal RNA
Rfam family: Bacterial small subunit ribosomal RNA
Source: RNAcentral